This is a non-coding RNA of Zootoca vivipara (common lizard), 8701 nucleotides long. The record is from RefSeq and is a predicted model, not a curated record. Lineage: Eukaryota; Metazoa; Chordata; Lepidosauria; Squamata; Lacertidae.
GGAAGUGAUAGGAGCGAGCCCAAAAGAGAAAGAGAGCGAGAGACCGAGAGAAGGGGGCCAAGGAGCUAGCGAGCGAGCGCUGGCAGGAUGUUGUCUCCUGGAGCGGCACUGCAGGAGAAGUAUCGCCAGUGCUUGGAGAACAAUUUCCACCAGGGCCACACUGGCAUCUGCACUGACUCGUCCCUGAAGGAGCGGAUGUGGCGGCAACUGCUGGAGGAUCCAGAAGUUCACAGUGCUCUGAGAGGGGAGGACACCUUCGCCAUGCUUGCCGCGGCCCUGAGAGGACAGCUGGAUCUGGGACUGGCGCUCCAGAAUCUUGGCCGGGCCUUUGAGGUGCUGGAGCUGGCAGCCAUCAAUCUUUACUUCUUCCCCUGGCGCAAGGAAUUUGGAACCAUAAAAACUUUCUCAGGUGUUUACGUGCACGUCCUCCAGGGAGUCCUGCCUGAGGCCGAAAUCACCAGGAGUUUCCGCCGGCUGGGCUACAUCCCGAGAGACAGCCUCCACCUGGUCAUUGCCCAGCUGCCCCCGAGUGCCAGCCUCCUCACUGCAGCCUGCUGCUUUUUUGCAGCCAGGGUCGAGUGCGAGAUCCUGGGGAAGAUCGUGCAGGAGCUGGAGCCGUACACCGCUUCACCUGAAGAUCUUCUCCAGGCCCGCAGGGAAGCCAAAGGCAGCCUGGAGAACUGUGUGGCCAAAUUGCAGAGCCUGGUGCGAUGGCCUAGGGGCAGAGAUUUCCGUGUGGAGCCAGCUGAUGCGAUAGACCUGUACAGGGAGGGUCCGGAAGGGCAGGGCCCGUAUGGUGACCCUUUGGGACCUAGGUUGCCAUUGUCAUCGCAGCAGCAGCAGCCCAUCCCCCUCUGCGAGCGCAGCAGCCCCCGGUUGCGGAGCAGAGAGCAGCACUUCCAGAGUCCGCAGGGGCUUGCGGAGAACAGGAGCAAGAUGUGGGUGCUGGGCCCGGAGGAGCCACCAUACGGCAACGGGAUCCCAGCCUCGGAGGGCCCCGAUCUGGAGACCUCCUUCUCCUUUAUCUCCCUGCGGCGGGAGCUUAGCAGAACUUCGGAAGCGGACUACCCCACGCCUCCGGGAAGCCGCUUCUUGUCUCCCAGCCCUCACUACGACAGCCCUGGCGGCCCCCAGCUCCACCGGGGCAGCAGCCCAGCCUCUCCCUCAGCAAGGCAGCCAAGGAGCCCCCAGCUGAGCCCCACGGGGAUGCGCCGAGCUCCGGUGCCAGGUCCAGGGAUGUCCCCGACAGAGCCGCCGCGCUAUCACCUGCAUUCGUGCAUGCACCCGGGCACCCUCCCGGCCUCCUGCUGCAACACCUGCAGGCUGCUGCACGGCGGCAGCUGCGACGGAGCGCAGGUCUGCCGGAGCAGCCACCACAUGGAAGAGCUGCAAAGCGAGAAGCAGCAGCGCCUCUGGCUGCAGAGGACAGAGGUGGACAAGCUGCUGCACGAGGGGGUGCCAGGAGUCUGGCAAUAGCGCACGCUGGGAAAACCCACCAGGGCAUCAACCGGACCUUGGACAGAAAAGCUGCUUCCUCUGCAGUUCUGAGGCUUCAUCUAGAACUGCACACACAGCCUGCUUUUUGUCUCCCCUCUCCCAGGUCUUCCCUCUCCCAAUUUUCUGAAAAACACUUAUUUUUGUUUCAGAGGAAAAAACAGCCAGACACUCUUUUCAGCAUACAUUCUUUUCCCGACCAACAGGACUUUUCUCAAAUCCUAAAUAUUUUGAGGAUUUAGGUGAACAAAUUUGUGGGGGUGGGAGGAUCCAGUCCUAAACAGUCUCCCGCAGUAGUGUUUGCUGGACAGCAAAGCAAUAUCACAGAUCUAGCAAAAGGAUUCUGCUUGAGCCUUCAUUUGAAGCUGCUGCUGCUGCUUGACUGUCCAUAACAAGUGGGUGAAUUUUCAGCAGUGGAGAAGAGCAAGAACUUGAAUACGCUGCUGUGCUCCAGAGACACUCCCAUUUUCACCUCUGAAUCAGAAAGGAAGGCCUUCAAAAGCUCACUGGACCAAGAAGGGAUAUAUGCUUAUGUGUUUGCUACAAUAGAGAUGCGAAGAGGUUGAAGUCCCUGAUCUUCCAACCCUCACCCACGGUAAGUUGCUAAGCAGAGCUUGACGCACAGAACAAGCAGUGCAUGCAGGUAGGGAUGCAAAACAGUGUGGGAGUUAAAGGUGCCUGAGCAUCUCUAAAUGCAGAGGUGCUGCUGUUGCUGCCUAGGAACUUCCCUCCACUAUAUAUAAGGCUGCCUCCUAGGGAUCUGGCAUCUCCCUCCCCACCCUCCCAGUCCUUCUGCUAAGGCUCACAGCAGCUUUAGUAUUCACCCUCCAGGUACACUACUGGUACUCAAAGACGGCAGUGGUAAAAGACUUUAUUGAGACACAGUCCUGGUUCAGUCUUGGGUUUUGCCCGCAAAGAAGAGACCUGGAAGCUGUAUGCCGGCUCCCUCAGCCAAUAAAACGAGAUGAGCGCCGCAACCCCAGAGUCAUCUGCAACUGGACCUAAUGGUCGGGGUCCCUUUACCUUUAAGGGGCUACUAUUUGGGCCCUGCUCUUUCCAUCAGGGAAGAGUUGAGCUGAUAAUUCAGGAGCUUCGGUGCAGCUUGGCAAGCUAGCUCCCAGUUGGUAAUCAGUGUCUCCCAGCAGGGGCAGCUGAUUCCUAUGAAGAACAUGGGAGCUGUCACGACACCCUCUGUAGGCUCCUGGCUCUCUGUCCCGACGUGCCUGGCAGCAGCCAGCACUGCCUCUCUUCAAGCUCUGCCCUUUCAAAGAGAAACAGAAGUACCACAAUUGUUUCAGAUUUGUUUCUUUGCAUUCAGGCGACAGCACUCCUGCAACCAUGGAGUUGGGAGGGGCUGGAAAGGUUAUCCAGUCCCAAACCCUGCCAGUGCAGGAAACCCCCUUCUAGGGCAUCGGUGGUCUCUGCUUAAAAACCUCCCUGAACAUUCCCUAAGCAUCAUUUGCUUUCAGUCCAGUAUUUCAAAGGUGUUUUCAAAGACUUCAUGCUAUUCGUAUGCCCCUUUUGUUUUAGCAAGGGCUUCAGUGCAACCUGCUUCCUGAUCCCAGAGCAUGCCAUACUCCUACCAUUCAUCAGCUAAUGGGUGGCUUGAACACACUUUGCUUCAGCAAAGGAACAAUCGGUAGCUUCCUUUAACAGCCUAUCGUUCCUUUGAAGCCACAUUGGUAGCUGCUUCAGGUGUGGAGCAGGUGGGCAUGGUUUGCUAGGAGCAGCAUGGUAGGCCAAAGUUGGCCCAUGGGCCACAAAUUCCGUGCCCUGCUUUCAGCUUCCUGUGGUCACAGCUGUUUGAAAGCACAUGGGAGACAUAAACAGCAGAGAAUAGUGGAGCAGCUACAGCUUCAUAAGACUCCUAGCUGGCUAUAUUUCUAGGUUAGUGGUGGGGAACCCACAGUCCACAGGUCUAAUUAGGCCAAGCCUCCACACCUGAUGAAGCCACAUUCUCCUGCAUUGCACCUGAGAACAUAUAUUGCAUCUGGUGUCAGGUACGUACAGACAUGGCCAGGCUGAAAUGGGGUUUGAUGUCCCAGGUUCAAUUCCUGGUGUCUGGAGGUAGAGCUGGGAGACAGCUCUGCUUGAAAUCCCUGGAAAGCUGCUGCCAAUCAGUGUAGAGUAGACAAUACAAUAGAUGGACCAAUGGUGUGGCUCGGUAUAAGGCAGCUUCCACUGUUGUUAAGUACACUUUACUCCAGCCCACGCCUGUCCUUACCGGGAGCAGUGUCAUCCUCAGGGCCGACUGCGCUUGCCUGUGCACUCUACACUGGGGGCGGCCCUCUUGUUGCGAUGGUGUGGGAAGGUUGGCAUGAGCUCUGGCUCGCAGGCUGGAAAAAGAGGGAGAAGAUGAAUCAGGUUGUGGCAGCAGCCCUGAGUGUGGGGAAAGGAAGCUACAAGAGACUUACGUAAAGGCUUCUCCUUGAAGUAGGAGCUCUCCAGGCAGUCGCCAGCUGUCGCUCUGAAGAGGAAGAGACACGUGAAAGCGAGGGGUGAAUUCACCUGCCACUUGCUUAUCCCUCUAUUCCACCCACAAAUUUCUGGCUUAGGAAGGCUGUUCUCCUGCAGCAGCUCCACUCUUCCUUCCUGAAUGUGCCUCUGCCAAGCCAAGGGCUCUGGCCAGAGGAGAUCACAGGAGCAAUCGAAGACAAGCGAGCAGGCGCCCACCUUACAGCUAGCUCAUUUAUUCAGGGAUGCAGCUAGUCUCUCCCGGGCAAGGAAGGGCUCACAUCCAAGAACCUGUGCCUUGUACAGUUGCACUAAUAUUACAUGCGGGAUCCAAUCCAUCCUGCUCACGAUUCUGAUUUCCUGUUGUGACUACCUGCUGUAGCUCAUCCCCGUAUGCUGUCUCUGAACCUGCUUUCAACUGCUCUGUCCUCCAAGUUAAUUCAUUCCUUUGGAAAGCUGCAGGAGCACUCCACAGGUUAACUGUGCCAGCACAUAAAGCUGCUGCUUUUGUGUCUCUCAUAACCUUGCUGCUGAUUGGUUUAGGUGCAUGACCCUAACAGCUUCUGUAUUUUGACCGGGGGAUGGAGAAAACACUUCUGCCCUGGCUAAAUUCUAGUUGCCCUUUUCUAACUCUACCUGUCGGGAGGGGUCAAUCAGAAUGGCGAAACAGAAGCCCCAAAGGCAGGCACAUCGCAACAACGUUGGCCUCUUUCCCAGCCUGGGCCCGGUUACCUUUUCUUGGGAUCGUACAUGAAGAGAAAGUUGAGGAGGCGAAGGCCAGCCUCCGACAGCCACGGGAACUUGUGCUUCAGGUUAUUGUACGGCUGCUUGCGCAGGGUGUACUGGCUCACCAGUGGCAGCUUGGAGAAGCCCUGGAGGUGAGAGGGACACAAAGGAAGGCACUAAAUAAAUCAUUUGCCUCUAACAUAUGGCUUAACUUGCUUGCAGGAGCCAUCUAAAGAAGGGAUAACCGGGGAUGGGGAGGGAGGAUGGAGAGGCACAUGCUAAGACCAACAAAUCUUGAUUUUACCAUUAUAUUGUACUGUAAGCUAGUUCCUACAUACACUCACACUACUUUCUAUCCAUCCAGGCAUGAAGGCAUCAGAGUUCAAGGACCCAUUUCAGCCAGCUAAAAUUCAAGGAAGGUGCAAAGCAGAGCUGGUGAAGGGUGUGACCUGGGAAAAGUGGGUGUGACCUGGGGAAAGUCUUAAGGGCCAGAUAGAGAGACUUGGAGGAGCACAUUUGAUCCUCGAAGCCUGAUGUCCCCCAUCCCUGAUCUAAUGCUACAGCCUCUCAACAGUGCACCUGAUCUCCUCGUAUCUUACUGCAGCCUGCAUUGCAUGGGUUGAUGGGGGUCAGGCUGCGGAUAAGCAGCCAUGCCUUUGCAUAUGAUAUUGGGCCAGAGGACCUUUCCACCACCUGCUGUGCUGCAACACUAAGGAAAGGCCACAUAAGAAGAGGCACAAAGGGGCAAAACCCAAGCAGGAGGAGGGAGCAACAAAGCAGAGGUGGGAUGAGGUCUGGGGAGUACUCACUGGCCAGAUGGUCUCGUUGGGCGUGCCCAGAAGCUGCACAAUCAUGUCUAUCUGCUGGAUCUCAGAGCUCCCAGGUAGCAACGGCUUAUGAGCCAGCAGCUCUGCCAGGAUGCAACCCACUGCCCUGCAGGGAAGACUCACAGUUAACACGGAGAGGCUAGCAGCUAUUCCCUCCACCCUCUCAGGCCUAGGAAAAACCAAUUUGUCCACAGAGCCAUGAAUCCAGGCCCUCAACAGAUGCAUUUUUCCUUUCUGUCCUCCUAAUCCCCACAUUAGGUGUGGGGGAUGGAGGAAAGGAGACGUCUUCUUCCCUCACCACAUAUCUAUGGCGGUGGUCUGUGUUAUUGUCCCCAGAAGCAGCUCAGGGGCUCGGUACCUGGAAAAGAGGGGAGAAAGUGUCCCAGGGAAGGUCAAUGUCAGCUUGCAUUGUGAUGCUAGAAUUCUGUAAUUUGAAUUCAGCAGACAACGGGCAUUUCCUUAAUCGGAAAAAGAGGAGUCUUCCUGUUGCAAUAGCCCCACACCUUUUUUGUCCCUGAGGGCUGCACUUGGUAUUGGGGUGGCAGCGGGGGGGAGGGGAAAUCUCACAUACACACCUUCCUCUUUCUCACACAAGAGGCAGAAGAUGCACAAACAGAAUCUCAAUGAUCCCCUUUGCACAUGUUCCUCCUCCCUGCUCCCAGGCCUAAGGGCAGCUAAUCUCCCUUCAGCCUGUCACAGGUAGCCAAGUGAUAAUGAGGGCCCCGAGUGACCAACAGUGGGACACAGGGAAAGACUGCACAUCUUGCAGGUUGCCCACCUGCUUCCCUCGUCACAUUAAAACUUAGCUAAAAGAAACCUCUUGUUAAAUGUGCUGCUGCUCUAAAGUCCAAUUUUGUUCCUCGUCUGCUGCUGGCAGCUCUAGGAGCAACAAACCCUAAGCCUUGGCUUGCUCUUGUCUGAACCAAGGCUUGUGGUUUGUUUCUCUCCAAAUAAACCACAAGUGUCAAGUGGAAGCCAAAGUUUGUGCCUGACCCAUGAGUCCAGGUCUGCACAUAAAGGCAAGCCAGAUGCUGUUUUUGCCCUCCCCAGUGCUGUGGGAGAUGGGGAGGAGGAAACUGCAUAAUUCUCAUAAUUCUUAGCAGUGGGCACCAGCACACUGCUUGAUCACCUUAAACCAUUGCUUAUUUUUAAGCAGGGUUUUAAUGCUUUCUGAAUCAGGCCCCUAUAUGUGUCAAGAGCAGAAACUCUUGUCCUGCUUUGACUCUGAUCUCAAUCACAUUUCCUAAGUACAUAUGCCAGGAAGGUGUGGAGUCUUCUUUCUAUGAGCUCCAUUGCCAUGCCUUCCCCAGGCAAUUAUUUUGAGUUGGUUGCUGUCAAGGUUUAUUGUGACUACUCUUGAGUAACGACCAUCCACAUGCUUGUCUUUCAGACGUUUUUAUUGGUGCACAUUAUUUACAGUGUAACGGAUUGCUCAUUUCAUGUCUACACGCUCGAGUCAGAUUCCUGCACUAAUUCCUUCCGUGUUCGCGACCAGCAUAAAAGCCUCGGAACUGAGAAGCGCCUCCCUUUCCUCCUCUUUCUCAAUUCCGGCAUAGGAGGGACGGGUCUUCUAUCUGACCUAUUCCUGUCCUCUCUUCCUGCCUAUGGAGCAGGGGCUCUUUAGUGUUGCCAGAGCCCUGGCACUCCCUUUCCGUUUCCUGACUCACCCCUUCAGACCCCUUGCUCUCAUGACUGCUUGGAGACGGGCUGCUUCUGAUGGGGGGGUUCUCUAUAAUCCCUCCCCCUCACAGUUGGGUAUCAAAACCAUAAAGAAGCAGCCUAUCAGUGAAAGCAAAGCCCCUUUCCUCUUUAACCCUCGCGCAAAGGUAGUGAUUGUGCAGGAGUGUUGAUUAGUCAAGGGAUGCUCAGAGUCUACUCACCAGAGUGUGACAACUUUGGGAGUCAUUGGCUUCAGGGGGACCCUGUAAGCACGAGCCAACCCAAAGUCCGCUGCAAGAAAAGAGGAGACACUCAAGGUCAAAGGGCAGGUCCAACUGCAUUACAAACCAAUUGGGUAUGUGUCUGUGAUGGUGGAAGUCAUCAAGGGAAGCCAGAUGUUGGCCAAACGCUCACCCGUUUUUACACAACCUUUGUCAGUCAUGAGCAAGUUGGAUACCUUCAGGUCCCUGUUGUUGGAGGAAAGAGAGGUUCACCAGGGGACAGACAAAACCAAGUGCAGCCCUUCCCCAAAUCCUGCUCCCUUAAGCAGCCUCUCUCCCACACUGACAUGGAUAGUAGCAGGCCUGCAAGCUACAUACUGAUCCUAGCUCCAGCCAAAUGCCCAGUCCCUGCUCUUCUCUCACCUGUGGAUUAUGAAGUUUUCAUGCAGGUACUGAAGGCCCUUGAGAACCUGGAGAACGAUACACUUCACCUGCAAUGGGAUGGAUCAAAUGAACAGGGCAUUGUUAAGGAGCCAUCUCUCUUGUGUAAAACACACACUACUUUGUCUUGUGCCAAAUUCUGCUCUGGGGUUCAAAGAUCCACAGAAAGGCAGCACAAGAAUUGAAAGGAUUAGUCCUACUGAACUGACCUAAAGCAUACUUUACCUUAUGGGCCAAUGGUCAGUCUCAAUUUACAGCAGCUUCCUAUGAUAUGGAUGAUGCCCAAACACCUCAGCCCAAAUUAACCAACCAGGCUACUCCCUCUCUAUUUGAACACCUACAUACUUUGAUUCUUUUGUUCAUGCUUUGCUUUUAAAAAGUGCCUUCUUGCCUAUCUUCCGUCUCAAAUUUGGUUACAACCAUGCCUUGGGUUCAACUUUCUGCAGCUUUUUAUGACAUCUCUUUCAUUCUGAUGAAGACAGUGAUCCGAACAAUCAACAUAAGGCUGCUACUUUCCCCAUCUCACCUGAGCUUCAGAGAAGGGAGCCUGCAUGUUCUCCAGGAGGCUGGCGAGGUCCUGCUCACAGUAACCCAUCACAAGGAAAAUGCUGCAGGACAAACACACGUUUUAUUUUCUGUAGUUGGAGAUAUAUCUACCCAAGAGGCCAGAGCUGAAUAGAAAGAAGUGGCUUAAAAUACAGGCUCUUGAGUGCUUGAGUCAUAUUCUGGAGGUCACAAUGCCUUGGAAACUAUGCUUUGCUUUCAGAAACAAAGCAAACCUCACCCCCUAUCCACAGCUUCUUUUAUUCCUGCUAACCUCCAUCCUGCUUUGUCUGCAAAGGUUUGUGUUUUUAAAGUUUGUAUUUUUGUAUUUUUAAA